This is an RNA transcript of Beta vulgaris subsp. vulgaris (sugar beet), 1291 nucleotides long. RefSeq lists it as hypothetical. Lineage: Eukaryota; Viridiplantae; Streptophyta; Magnoliopsida; Caryophyllales; Amaranthaceae. The record is from RefSeq and is a predicted model, not a curated record. The transcript is spliced from 7 exons.
GCCCAGAAGACGAACAUAAAAUUAUUCUUCAUAAAUUGUUCUCCCUUUAUCUCUUUAAUCCAAAACAAAAACAAAGCAAAAAAGAAAAAAUCGGUUCUUUCGCGCGAAACAAAUGUUGUGCUGGCGAAAUAUAGCCGUUCUCUCCCCAUUUUCUCUCAGGACUUUUAUCGAACACCUUCCUUACUACAAACCCAACACCUUAAAUCUCACUGCAAAAACGCGCAAAUCUUUCGCUACUUCAUCAUCCCUUAAAUCUUCUCACUUCGAAACCCUAAAUCUUCAACAGAAAGAUCAGAUUUCUCUAUACGUUGAUGCUCUUCUUCAAUGGAAUCAGAAGAUGAAUUUAACUGCUGUUACGGAGAAGAGCGAAGUGAUGGAACGUCACAUUGAAGAUUCGCUUGCAAUUCUCUCGCCUAUGAAUGAAUCUUACUCUUCAAAUUGUGGUUCUUUGUGUGAAAAUAUCAAUGUUGUUGAUGUAGGAAGUGGUGCUGGUCUUCCGGGAUUGAUUUUAGCCAUUGCUUGUCCAGGUUGGAAUGUCACGCUCCUAGAGUCUCUGAACAAACGUUGCUUAUUCUUGGAGCAUGCAAUCAAUGUAACUGGUGUGUCCAAUGUGCAAAUUGUCCGUGAUAGGGCUGAGAAUUUUGGACAAACAUCGGAGUAUAGAGAGUCAUUUGAUAUAGCUGUGGCCAGGGCUGUUGCAGAACUGAGGGUGUUAGCUGAGUAUUGUAUUCCUUUGGUUCGCGUGGGUGGUCUCUUUGUAGCUGCUAAAGGUCAUGAUCCUCAGGUAAUCCGGAGGAAAUUCUAAAUGCUAAAAGAGCAGUAAAUCUGUUGGGUGCUUCUCUUUUGCAUCAGCAUUUAGUGGAAUCACACGGCCCCUAUGGACAGCGGACUGCUAUCGUAUGUCUUAAAGAUCGUGCUACUCCUCGAAAGUAUCCCCGCACUCCAGGUACACCAGCGAAAAUGCCAUUAUGAGUGAUCCAGAUGAAUGACUGCUAUUGUUUCUAGCUACUAUAAUCAGCUGGCAUGCAUCUAUUGAAAUUCUCGGAGAUUUGGUGUUGCACAUAUUGCAUGAUGUAUAUCAAAUAGAAAUAUAGUAUUUGUUGUGCAAAGUUUUCAGGCAAGCAUCCAUGUAUUUACUAUCUACGACUCAGAUACUAGAAAGUCCAUAAUGUUGCAAAUCAUAUGCAACCUAGCGACUUGCCUCUUUUCACCUUUUUUUUUAAAAAUGAUUAUUGAAUUUUUUUAGGCGAGCUAGAUAUUGGAAAUCUGGAGGAGCUAUUAUCUUCUUCAA